This is a long non-coding RNA of Coturnix japonica (Japanese quail), 1146 nucleotides long. RefSeq lists it as uncharacterized. Lineage: Eukaryota; Metazoa; Chordata; Aves; Galliformes; Phasianidae. The record is from RefSeq and is a predicted model, not a curated record.
CCUAUGGAAAGUCAAUGCUGUAAAAAGAAAGGGGAAUGCUUCUUAUAAUGGAAGCUCCCCUCCCCCUGGAAAAGUAACUAUUUCCAGUAAGUGAGAAGGAAGACUAGCCUCUGCCACCAGAGAGUAUUUAGAAGUAAUUGAAUCACUGGAUUAGCUAAUGCAGCAUCCAUUAGGAGUCCAUGCCAUUCCCAGAGGACUCUGCAGCCAUAAAGGAGAACAAGGAAGCCCUGAGUAUUUCAUGAAUGCACAUAAACCUCCUGCUUCCAGGCUAUAAAUUGCUUCCCGGGUGACAUCACAAAGGUGCUGUUGGCUCUCCUCCAUUUCCCUUAGCAUGAGGUCUGAGGUUUUCCAGAUGGGCCUGAAAGGGAUCAGACUGGAAUCAGACAUGCUCUGCAAAGGGUAUGAGUGGGAGUAUGCUCUCCUAUCUCCUGCCAUAUGCAUCAUGAAGGUCUUCUGAAAGGGCAAGAGAAAUCUGGAGUCGCAUGUGAGGAGCUUAAUGCCUGCCAACAUCAACAGCACUGACCACAUCCAGCAACAAUCCAUCGGCAUCUGAGAUCCCAUGCACAUGAAUGGACACCAUGCUGCAUGGUCAGUGACUUGUGCAUGCCUGGGAGUCAGCAGUAGGAGAUUUCCAGAUGCCAAGAAGUUUUCUCUGUACCUGCUGGCUGCUUGGCACUUGGCUACUGUGCAUCUAAAAUCACACAGCUCUGUGCUCGCUGCUGUUUACAACUGCUCAGUGUGAGCUCUCCCUGUUUUCCUGCAGGAAUUAGUUGCCUUGGUAGUGAGUAAAGAAAACUCAAAAUAUUUUAAAGAAAGAUGAAUGUGAAUAUGUGAUGCAGUUACCAUAAACUCACUGACUCCCACUCAAAUACAUUCAUCGCACAGGCUCUGUUUUCAGCUCCUUUUUUGUACCUCUCUCCCUAUCCCCAGUUCAACACCACCCCUUAAAUCCCACGCCUGCACUUUUCCACGCAGCCAGAGGACAGAUGUGUUUAUUUGCACGGUACCAGGCUGUGAUUCCUGACUCUGCUGCUGACUUUUUGAAGCACUGGGCAAGUUAUUUGUCAGACACCCUGUAUGUCAAGUCCUGCUCCUGUAAAACAAGCAGGGGAUGAUGCUGGGAAAAAUAAAUAUGGCUCUGGCUGG